UUCGCAAUGCCCGAAAGGGUGACGAAGCGACGCCGCGUGGGUGAGGAAGGCCUUCGGGUUGUAAAGCCCUGUCAGGAGUUAAGAAAUGUAAGUGCGCUAAUAUCGCAUUUAUUUGACGAAGGCUCCAAAGGAAGUCACGGCUAACUCUGUGCCAGCAGCCGCGGUAAUACAGAGGUGGCAAGCGUUGUUCGGAAUUAUUGGGCGUAAAGAGCACGUAGGUGGGUUUGUAAGUCAGAUGUGAAAGCCUUCUGUUCAACGGAAGAAUUGCAUCUGAAACUGCGAGUCUUGAGUGUAGGAGGGGAGAGUGGAACUUCUGGUGGAGCGGUGAAAUGCGUAGAUAUCAGAAGGAACGCCGGCGGCGAAAGCGACUCUCUGGCCUAUUACUGACACUCAGUGUGCGAAAGCUAGGGGAGCAAACGGGAUUAGAUACCCCGGUAGUCCUAGCCGUAAACGAUGGGCACUAA
Molecule: ribosomal RNA, 464 nt
Filed under: uncultured Planctomycetota bacterium
Lineage: Bacteria; Pseudomonadati; Planctomycetota
Description: bacterial SSU rRNA
Rfam family: Bacterial small subunit ribosomal RNA
Source: RNAcentral